Long non-coding RNA from Equus caballus (horse), 6883 nucleotides. RefSeq lists it as uncharacterized. Lineage: Eukaryota; Metazoa; Chordata; Mammalia; Perissodactyla; Equidae. The record is from RefSeq and is a predicted model, not a curated record.
AGAUGUUAGCUCAGGGCUAAUCUUCCUCAAGAAAAAAGUAAAGAAAAGAAAAGGAAAAAAAAAGAAACUGUCUUCAUCUAAAACUACAUGUAAAUACUAAUCAGUUGAGUUUCGUAGUACUAGUGUACAGUAAAUGGAUAUUUUUUUAAAAGCAGAUGGCAUUACAGCAUAAAUUUCUGUGAUAAAUAAGAAAAUUAAAAAAUACCUUUUGGCAUGCCAGAUCCAAUUGUGUUAAACACAUGGAUUCAUUAUUCUUUUAAAUGUCUCAAAGGACUAGAAUGAUAGGCCAAACCUGGGAGAAAGUCUAAUUAUCCCACAGGAUUGGGGUUUUUUGGUUUGGUUUUGCUUUGCUUUGUUUAAGGGGAAAAGAAAAAAGCACUAUGCCAUGGUUCUUUUCAAAAACAUUUCUAUAUAUUGAGGUGUAUUGAUCCUGAUAUGAAUUUUGUAGAAACGUAAGUAUAACAAUUGUUAAAAUUUUUUAUUACGUUCUGUAUCUGUCUACCUGAAAUGGAUUUCAGAAAUGAGGGACAUGAUAGUGGUAUAAGGUAGCAGUAAGUGCCCCAGUGAAUCAUUCCUUCCUAUAUACAUGCCCUCAAGUAGUUCCUUCCCAUAGUAGCUCUGAGCUUGGCCAUGUCAUGUGCUUUGACCAAUGAGGUAAUAAACAGCAAAUGUGACAGAAGCAGACACUUGAAAAGUGCUUGCCCACUGGAUCAUGCCCCUUCUGCUUCUUGAGAACCCUUGUGCUACACUGUAUGAGCACACCAGGGAUAGCCCCCUGGAGAUGAGCGAUGAUGUGGAGAGGGGCCCCAGCAUUUCCUGCCAUGCCAGCUUUCCCAGAGGAAAGCAUUCAAUAUUUAGUUGAAAGAAGUAACACUAUAUACUCUUAUAAAGACAUAUUGACCUUCUUAAGGCCAAAUACUACCAAGCCAGAAACUACCAACAAACUCCUCUGUCUCACAGUAACAAGAUAUUAAUAGCCCAUGGAGAAAUCAACGUAUAAUUUAGUUUCUGUUCACUUCAGUCCCUCUACUCUUUAGUACUAAAAUGAAUAUAAGAUCAGAAAGGGCGGUACAAAAUAACUAACAAACUCAUCAGAAAAGUUUUGGGAGAACAUUUUCAAACUUCUGGAUGAGCAAUUGGGACAUAUUAGAUUCUUACAUUGCAAGAAUUUUUUUUCUAUCAGAAAACAAAAGAUAACCCUCUCAUGCAGAAAAUGAGCUUGAGCCCACAAAUUGAUUUGAAUGGUUUAUCAUUUCUCUAAUCUCCUGAAAGACCUAUCCGCUAUGCCUGUGUAAGUAUUGUAAACCAAAUAAAAUUAGCAUUUUUCUCAGAAUUCCCCAAGAUAGGAGAAUCCCACAAGAGUCAUUCAGAAAUAAAUAUGCAUUGAACAAAUAUGUGAUAAUAUCAGUAAUUUUCUGUUUUCCUAUAAUCCCUUAGCAGAAAACUAUAAUCACACAGCACAAGAUCACAUGGAAGUAUGCCGUUGUCAUGAGUGAGGACAGGCAAAUUCCCUAAAGGACAUUAAACAACUCUAUUAUCGAACCUGAUAUAUCUUUUACCAGGAAAAAAAAAAGCACAAUGCCAAAAUAUGCUAGUUAUAUACUCAAUGUUUUGUUUGCAAAAUUACUUACAUUACCCUAUUUUUGUUCAACUCUAAAGAGCAAUUUCUCCCUAAUUACAACUGUCUCUUCUCUAGGAAGAAAUUUAUGCAUAAUAUAUAUUAUAGCAACAUUUUCUGCAUGAGUGGUACUUCAGCAAUUUGACUUUGGUGAAAAUAGAAAGAGAGCUCUUUCUCCCUUCAGAACAGCAGCAAGAAUACACAACGAGCUCUAAGUGAGGAAGACAUCGACUUCUCCUAACAUCAGAGAAAUGCCUGAAAGGAAUUCUUGUUCCACAAGAGAUGGCUAAAACAUUAUGCUCACAGUCACCUUUUCAGCCUCAAUCUGCAAAGGAGAGUCAAAGUUUAAAGAUACCAUUUUCUAGUCAAAACAAAAAUAAAAUGUCCCAAUAUUCUUAUCAUACAAUCCAUGAACAGUUGUAGGAUAUGAUUUGUAAAUAUUUGAGUUUCAUAAAUGGAAAUUGCAGCCACUGCAUCUUGGCAUAUUAUUGCCAGUAACAUCUCCUUACUAUGUAUACCACUCAAAAGCUAGAAUGAACUUCAGUUCACAUCUAGCCUUCUUGAAUAUGAAGUAUUCAGCCUCCUCAGUUACCAUCAGAUAAGGAGGCUCUUGCAGAAACAGUUGAAAAUCAGGCAGCAGUGCAGUGGCUGGAAUUGAACUGGCAGGGCUGCUUAUUGAGCGUGGUGCCUCGUUCCAGUCACUGCCUCUGUUCCUUUCUCUAGGAUGUUCAGCCCAUUCGAUGGAAUACCACUGUUUGAUGUCAAUAAAUCUUGAUUUCAGGUGGUAAAAUUAUCCAUGGAAGUAUAUCUUAAACACAUCACGAUAGAAUUGGUGUCCUCCCUUACACGAUGUAGGCAAGAAUGUGAUUCCUUUUCUUAAUAAAAUUUGGUCAGUUUGGACUAUUCCCUCUCCCUAGACAUAGUUGGCAAGUACAUUGAAAAUACUUAUUUUAACUCAACCAUAGCCACAGAGAAAUAUAUCACCAACCAAACCAAAGAUAUCCUGUUUAAAUCAAAGGAAACUAGGCUGCUCAGGAUCCUGAUGGCUGUAAGCAAAACAUGGACCAUAAAUCCGUCAUGCUAAGCACUAGUUUUUAUUGCUACCAUGGCUGCAUAAAAUUGGCUAGAACCAACAUUGCUGUGAAACCAUAAACCAACAAAAGCUUUACUUUUAGCGUCAGAAUCUCUCCAAGAAUAUCAGGCACUGUCCUUUGGUUAAAGCACUUUCAAUACAUUUUGGAAACAUUUCUGAUGGGAUCCUUCGGCUAUAAUUACUUUUCUUCCUCUCUGAAUUUGAAUCAUUCUACUCUGACCAUUUAGAUCCUCUCCAGAAAUUACCAUUGACCCUUGUGACCUUGCUUCUCAGCUAUAUCCUACUAGAAAAGCCUAUGAGAAAAUCCAGAAUUUCGGAGUUUUGAAAAUUGUAAUGGAGACCGUAGUGCCUGAAAUCUCUCUACUGCCUCUCUCGUCUUAGUUUAAACUCACUGUUUAUUCCAAAGUGAGAGAGGAAAACAUAUUCAUUGAGAACUUGUUACAAUGUUUAGAAGACUAAAAUUCCCUGAAAUCCAAAUUAAGGAUUUCUUCCCUGAGGUUUGGGGCAGCUCUAGCAACAAAUUUUCAUGUAUUAAUGGUGUUUACGUUUAUGACAAGUUAUUUUUCGAUGUAAAAUAUGGUUUGUGAACUGCAUUUUUAAUUUAGCUGCUCCUACAUGUUAGUUUUAAUUUAUCUGAUAGAAUGCAGGUUUAGAAGCAUAAAAUGAAAUCACUUUUAAAGUAGACUGUAAUUGAGACAUCCAUUAAGUUAGACUACGUUUCCCUUGCUUUUUCUAAGUCAGUGAUGUUUUAAUUUAUUUCAAUGGAAAAUUAUUUGUGCUGGGUAGCUAACAACAGUCCAAGUGUCUCAUAGUAAGAUAUUUACUUGUCUUAACCUUUCUUUGCAAUUGUUAGGGUCCUUGUCAUUUUGACUUCCUUUCAGCUAGUGACCUCUGCCCUGUCCCAAUUUAAAGAUAAACUAAAAGACAUUUCCCCUGGAUGCGUGUUUCUUCUAGUUUUUUCAGUGGAAGCAGUAGGCUCUAGUUGUCUAACCAAUUACCUCCUAUUUGAAAGGACUUGUGGGGUGUGUAAUUGUGUAUUGGGAGAAGGAAGUAUAGGAAAAAAUAAACAAGAAAAAAUGAUGUGUCAACUCUAAGAAGUGAGCCCAGAAUUCAACAUCAAAAUAAGAAAAGGAAAACUAUGAGAGAUAAUAAAUAAGAAGCCCUUCGUGAGUUAGCUUUUAUCAGCAAUAUUGUGGGCACACGUGAUAAUAUUUCAAAAACAGUUGAUUUAAAUAUGUGUCUGGAAUUGGAGUUAAGCAAAUCAUCUUUUAUACAAUUGCAUAUUAUUCAUAAAGUUUGUUUACAAAUACACUAGAAAUGGAGCACUCAUGAUUUAGAAUUUUACAGAAAAAACAUUUCCUGUGUCACUGGUAGCUUUAUACAAUAGCAUUUUCCCUCCACCUUUUCUUGCUCUCUGAGAAUAUGAUUCUUGGUGUUGCUUUUGAAGUCUUAGUGUUUAUUCCACCUUGUUGAUAACAAACUAAGGGAAUUAAUAAUAGAUUAAUAUCUAAAUAAUGGCUAGAAAAAGAGAGAGAAUUACUCUAAAUACCUUACAUACAUACAUACCUACACACAUAAGGGGGGUGUGUGCAUGUAUACAUAGACAAGCUCAUGUAUAUUGUCAUUUUUAUUCAAUUUUCAAGUUAUAUAGGCUGUUUGUGGGGUUUCCAUGUUUUCAGUUAGCUUAUGAAGGGAAAUCUGAUAGCCAAGUCAUUCCUUCACACAUUACGUUAUGGAGAAAGUCUAUAAAGUGAAAAGAAUAUCUAGCCAGACUUUAUAGUAGAUAUGGGAGAAAUUUACUGGGUUAGGACUAAAACAAUCUUUAUUACAGGAGACCGCACCUCAACUUAUAAUGGAGGAAACCAUCUCCUUUGGGAGAAAACAUGAUAAAAUAUGUACAUCUAAAAGCUGUGAAACCUGAAGAAAUAUACAGCUUCCCCCCUCCCUCCCUUUCUGCAUUCCUUUUCAUUUGGAGUCAGACUAUCUUAGGCCAUUAAUUAACCUUCAGGCCCUUGAGGUCACCUCCUUGGAUCUGUUCUCUAUAUAUCUAAAAGUUUUAUUUCUCAGUGAAUAUUAGAGAUACAUGAAUAUUGACUAUGUUGCCAAAAUAAAGAUGUAUUAUAUCUGCUAAAAUGCCUUGAGUUGUAAACAUGAAAAAAACCACAACGUUCGCUAAAGUAAUUUUGAAUAGCACAGGUGUUAAUUAGCCCAGUAUAGAAAUUUCUUUCUCAUCAAUGGGAGUUCUAAGAUAGUAUCAAUUAUAACUUAAAAAUAUUGUCAUAAUUAAGUCUUACAUCUUUGAAUAUCUGUUGUCUCAAGAAUUUUAAACUAUUCUGUGGUUUUACACACAAAUAUACAUAAAGGGUACCAGCAUGACCAUUGUGUUGAGUGGAAGAUUUAUUUAAAUUAUAUCUAUUUAAAGCAAUUGAGCUAGGACUACUUACUGGCUCAUACAUUGAAAAGCUUACUGCCUGUACUGGAAAAUGUGUUGACUUAGGAAAUGCGUCUACACAGAAAUAACAUUAACAAAGCUAAAUUAAGAAUUUUGAUGGGAUUGGAAAGCAUAAAUGUUCUUUAACUGUUUAUAUUAAAUCACAGGGUGUUUGAAAAAUUUAAUCUUUAACAGUUAUUUUAUAAACAUAUGAACUCCAAAAGUACUUCUAUAUCUGUACCUAUCAUAUAGACUUAACAUCUUUUAUUUAAUAAUCAUUUAAAUAUGUGAUUUUUCUUUCACAUACCAGAUUAUAAGCUUAUUGGAGCCAGGCAGGAUCGUACCCAACGCUUAAAACAAUGACCUGCAUAUUAUGGUUGCAUGAUAAGUAAUUGACAAAUAAAGAAAUGAAGAUUUAAAGUGGCUUAGUUAAUGUUAGUUUAUGAGUAUUUUUACGUAUAAAGGAGAGAGAAUUCCACCCUUUCUUUUAAACUUAGUGUUUUCCUAUAAUUAUGAAUAGGAGAGAGGAACCAAUUUUGUAUAAAUGUUGGUAGACAGAGUUUAAACUGCACAAUCCACUGGGCAGGUUAAGGAUAUCUAAGCUGACUGUGAAGAAGUUGUCCCAUGUUAAGUGUUUACGUUUGUUUUUCUUGUAUAUACUAAGAGGCAAAGGGAAUGAACAUAUAUUGUAAAUCAAAAAUGAAUUUAGUAAGUAAAGUAAAUCUCACAUUGAGUAUGAAAAGUAAGCAUUGGAGAGCUGGGGAUCCCAUAAAUGACAUUUUGCAAUGCCUUCUAAGCCAGGACCACUGAGCUUUAUGAACUAGUGUUAAAUAGAAGAAUGAAAAGUUUGUAAGGAAUUUAUUUAGUAUGAAGAGCAAAAGCAGGGCCACAAGGGUGAAGCCGUUCAUACAAUAACUUCCUGAUUCGUUUUCGUUUUUCACUUUUGACUUUUCUUUCUACAAGUGCUAGCACAUCCUUAUCAAAAUAAUUGGGAGAAGUAAGAAAGAUUUGGUUGAAAAUUUAACAUGGUAAUAAAUGGCUUUCUGAUUUGAAGAUGAAGGAGCUAUAUUUUGAAGUUAUUCAAUAGUCUGUGAGUCAGAUCUGAGUGUCCUUUACAACAUUACCACAAAUUGGCUGUGAGACUCCAAGCCAUCUCUCAACCUCUCUGUAUUUGGCUUGGGGUUGAAAUCGGAGCUCUACCAUUUUCCAGAUGUAUGACUUUAGGCAACUUUUCACUACACUGAAGCCUCCAUUUCUUCUUCUGUACGUAAGAGAUGAUGAUGAAGUGAUAUAAUGUACGUAAAUUUCCGGGACACAGUGUUUGACAUUUAAUUAACUCUCGGUAUAAUACUACCUUUAUUGUUGUUGUUGUUAUUAUUUUACAUCCCUGCCAAUAAUAAAAUUUUGUCAUUCUGCACUAUUUUGAUAUUGCUUUCUGUAAAACUUUAAAUAUUGGCACAUACUAUUUUGCAUAUAUUUUGUAACUAACUUAGAUUAUUUUCACUCAUGAGGAAUAUCAAAAACUUUCUCAGCAUCGAAUGUGCUCCUCCCAUCUCCCCCACUUUAGGUGGAAAUGUAUUUGUCAAUUCUGGUUCAAAAAUAAUUAAACAAGGGCCAGCCUGGUAGUGUAGUAGUUAAGUUCAGGUGCCCAGGAUUCAUGAGUCCAGAUCCCCAGCACAGACCUAUGCACUGCUCAUCAAGCCAUGCUGAGGCAGCAUCCCACAUACAAAAUAGAGGAAUA